RNAcentral lists this ribosomal RNA (200 nucleotides) under uncultured bacterium. RNAcentral describes it as "partial 16S ribosomal RNA". It matches the Rfam family "Bacterial small subunit ribosomal RNA", at positions 524 to 723 of the family's 1533-position model. The record is from RNAcentral.
UACUGAAGGUGCAAGCGUUAAUCGGAAUUACUGGGCGUAAAGCGCGCGUAGGCGGCUACUUAAGUCGGAUGUGAAAGCCCCGGGCUCAACCUGGGAAUGGCUUUCGAUACUGGGUAGCUAGAGUAUGGGAGAGGGCUGUGGAAUUCCACGUGUAGCGGUGAAAUGCGUAGAUAUGUGGAGGAACAUCAGUGGCGAAGGCG